GACGAACGCUGGCGGCGUGCUUAACACAUGCAAGUCGAACGGAAAGGCCCUGCUUGCAGGGUACUCGAGUGGCGAACGGGUGAGUAACACGUGGGUGAUCUGCCCUGCACUUCGGGAUAAGCUUGGGAAACUGGGUCUAAUACCGGAUAGGACCGCACUUUAGUGUGUGUGGUGGAAAGUUUUUUCGGUGUAGGAUGAGCUCGCGGCCUAUCAGCUUGUUGGUGGGGUAAUGGCCUACCAAGGCGGCGACGGGUAGCCGGCCUGAGAGGGUGUACGGCCACAUUGGGACUGAGAUACGGCCCAGACUCCUACGGGAGGCAGCAGGGGGGAAUAUUGCACAAUGGGCGCAAGCCUGAUGCAGCGACGCCGCGUGGGGGAUGAAGGCCUUCGGGUUGUAAACUCCUUUCGCUAGGGACGAAGCUUUUUGUGACGGUACCUAGAGAAGAAGCACCGGCUAACUACGUG
This 465-nucleotide ribosomal RNA is filed under the name uncultured bacterium. Its description in RNAcentral is "partial 16S ribosomal RNA". It matches the Rfam family "Bacterial small subunit ribosomal RNA", at positions 28 to 507 of the family's 1533-position model. The record is from RNAcentral.